Molecule: ribosomal RNA, 171 nt
Filed under: uncultured Methylobacterium sp.
Lineage: Bacteria; Pseudomonadati; Pseudomonadota; Alphaproteobacteria; Hyphomicrobiales; Methylobacteriaceae
Description: partial 16S ribosomal RNA
Rfam family: Bacterial small subunit ribosomal RNA
Source: RNAcentral
AGUGCCUACGGGAGGCAGCAGUGGGGAAUAUUGGACAAUGGGCGCAAGCCUGAUCCAGCCAUGCCGCGUGAGUGAUGAAGGCCUUAGGGUUGUAAAGCUCUUUUAUCCGGGACGAUAAUGACGGUACCGGAGGAAUAAGCCCCGGCUAACUUCGUGCCAGCAGCCGCGGUA